Drosophila santomea is the source of this 446-nucleotide long non-coding RNA. RefSeq lists it as uncharacterized. The transcript has 2 exons. The record is from RefSeq and is a predicted model, not a curated record. NCBI's taxonomy places the organism in Eukaryota, Metazoa, Arthropoda, Insecta, Diptera, Drosophilidae.
AAGGAGAAGGAGCCGUGCACAACGAUGGCCUCCUGCUCGGAGCCCACGUUCUUCAGCUGACCCUCCUCGUCCUUCUUGGUACCGUCGCUGAGCUCCGAACUGUCGGAGAAUAAGGGUUUAGUCCUUGUUAACUGAGGGGUCCAACGUCGGAAUCAGAUCGCAGGAUGGUGACAUCAGAUGGAGCAGCCAGGGCCACAGCGAAGAGGGCGAACAGGACGAUGGCGAAUUUCAUUUUGAAGACGUUGUUGAUCGUUGAAGACUCAAAGAUUACUAUGCUGUUAAGGAGGCUAUUCUCAGUUCAUUUAUAGUCCGGCUCUUUUGGCCUAAGUUUUGCCCACUCGCGUCACAACAAUCAAAACUAGUUUCGGCUAAGGUAAGCUUAAAACUUGAAAUGCUUAAUUUCAGCAAAUAUAUAUGCAGAUGGAAAUUUAAACUAUACAAACAAA